AUGGGAUCCAUUCCCCCUAGAUUUGGGAAUUUGACUAAGCUCACAACAUUGUACGUCCACCGUAAUAAAUUCUCAGGAUAUCUUCCUCGAGAACUAGGUUACUUGGUGAAUCUACAAAUGUUGGAUCUUAGCGCCAACAAACUCAUGGGUUCCAUCCCCGAUUCCUUUGGUGGCCUAAUUAACCUCAGUGGCCUGUAUCUAUGGGAUAACCAACUUUCCGGGCAUGUUCCUCGAGAACUAGGUUACCUCGUGAAUCUAGAAAAUUUGAAACUUAACAAGAACCAACUUUCUGGGCGUAUUCCUCGAGAACUAGGUAAUUAA
This 321-nucleotide ribosomal RNA is filed under the name Triticum aestivum (bread wheat). RNAcentral describes it as "partial small subunit ribosomal RNA". Lineage: Eukaryota; Viridiplantae; Streptophyta; Magnoliopsida; Poales; Poaceae. The record is from RNAcentral.